CAUUUAAAGAAAAUAAUCAGAUAUAUGUUUGUAUUAAAAGAAAGAAAACGAAUUGAGGGAUGAUUCCACAUAUAAUUACAGACAUCUUUUCAAAGUUAACGAGCUUGAAAACACACAAGUCUUCUUCCUUCAAGCGAUUUCCAGAUAAGAACUCAAGCCAACCAUUUCCCAAGCGCACCCGGCCACUAUCCUGGAUCAGUUUCACGGACCAU
Long non-coding RNA from Telopea speciosissima, 212 nucleotides. RefSeq lists it as uncharacterized. The record is from RefSeq and is a predicted model, not a curated record. The transcript is spliced from 2 exons. Lineage: Eukaryota; Viridiplantae; Streptophyta; Magnoliopsida; Proteales; Proteaceae.